UGGGGAAUAUUGCGCAAUGGGGGGAACCCUGACGCAGCAACGCCGCGUGAAGGAAGAAGGUCUUCGGAUUGUAAACUUUUGUCGCAAAGGAAGAAGGAAUGACGGUACUUUGUGAGAAAGCCACGGCUAACUACGUGCCAGCAGCCGCGGUAAUACGUAGGUGGCGAGCGUUGUCCGGAUUUACUGGGUGUAAAGGGCGCGUAGGCGGGUGCGCAAGUCAGAUGUGAAAUACCGGAGCUUAACUCCGGGGCUGCAUUUGAAACUGCGGAUCUUGAGUGCCGGAGAGGGAAGCGGAAUUCCUAGUGUAGCGGUGAAAUGCGUAGAUAUUAGGAGGAACACCAGUGGCGAAGGCGGCUUUCUGGACGGUAACUGACGCUGAGGCGCGAAAGCGCGGGGAGCAAACAGG
This 406-nucleotide ribosomal RNA is filed under the name uncultured bacterium. Its description in RNAcentral is "bacterial SSU rRNA". It matches the Rfam family "Bacterial small subunit ribosomal RNA", at positions 355 to 776 of the family's 1533-position model. The record is from RNAcentral.